UACGUAGGGUGCGAGCGUUAAUCGGAAUUACUGGGCGUAAAGCGCGCGCAGGCGGUUUUGUAAGUCGGAUGUGAAAUCCCCGGGCUUAACCUGGGAAUGGCAUUUGGGACUGCAAGGCUGGAGUGCGGCAGAGGAGACUGGAAUUCCUGGUGUAGCAGUGAAAUGCGUAGAUAUCAGGAGGAACACCGAUGGCGAAGGCAGGUCUCUGGGCUGACACUGACGCUCAUGCACGAAAGCGUGGGGAGCAAACAGG
This 253-nucleotide ribosomal RNA is filed under the name uncultured bacterium. RNAcentral's name for it is "partial 16S ribosomal RNA". It matches the Rfam family "Bacterial small subunit ribosomal RNA", at positions 524 to 776 of the family's 1533-position model. The record is from RNAcentral.